UAUGUGAUCGUCUCUCGCAUAUCAAUAAGCGGAGGAAAAGAAACUAACAAGGAUUCCCCUAGUAACGGCGAGUGAAGCGGGAAGAGCUCAAAUUUGAAAUCUUAAAGGGUUUCCCUUUACGAAUUGUAGUUUAAAGAAGUGUUUUCUGUUGAGGUUUUGGUAAAAGUUCUUUGGAAUAGGACAUCAUAGAGGGUGAGAAUCCCGUAUUUGACCUUUACUUUCAACUUUGUGAUACACUUUCAAAGAGUCGGAUUGUUUGGGAAUGCAGUCCAAAAUGGGUGGUAAAUUUCAUCUAAAGCUAAAUAUUAGGCGAGAGACCGAUAGCGAACAAGUACCGUGAGGGAAAGAUGAAAAGAACUUGAAAAGAGAGUUAAACAGUACGUGAAAUUGUCAAAAGGGAAGCGUUUGACACCAGUGUUGUUUUUCUGAAAAUCAAUUAAAGAACUGUUUAUGCUAAGCUGUUUAGACUUUAUCAGCUAUCUGUUUAGUUUUGAGCUUUUCUUUAAUGCACUUUUCAGUUAACAAGUCAACAUCAAUUUCUUUUGCUGUAAAAAAGCUUGAGGAAGGUGGCUUGAGAUUCGUCUUAAGUGUUUAUAGCCUCUUGCCUAUGCAGUCGGAGAGAUUGAGGUCUGCAGCGUAGAUCCUUCGGGGCUAAAUGCAUUUGUGCUAAGUUAUAGCAUUUUAUAGACAACUUGUUGACUAUGAUUUGUCUUGUAGCUUACUCGCUUAUGUUAUUUUACCUACGCUUAGGAUGUUGAUCUACAGAGCGAGAGU
This 774-nucleotide ribosomal RNA is filed under the name uncultured Neocallimastigales. RNAcentral's name for it is "partial large subunit ribosomal RNA". It matches the Rfam family "Eukaryotic large subunit ribosomal RNA", at positions 24 to 635 of the family's 3401-position model. The record is from RNAcentral. Lineage: Eukaryota; Fungi; Neocallimastigomycota; Neocallimastigomycetes; Neocallimastigales.